Molecule: ribosomal RNA, 529 nt
Filed under: uncultured bacterium
Lineage: Bacteria
Description: bacterial SSU rRNA
Rfam family: Bacterial small subunit ribosomal RNA
Source: RNAcentral
ACUCCUACGGGAGGCAGCAGUGGGGAAUUUUGCGCAAUGGGGGAAACCCUGACGCAGCGACGCCGCGUGGAGGAUGAAGGUCUUCGGAUUGUAAACUCCUUUUGUCGGGGAAGAUAAUGACGGUACCCGGCGAAUAAGCCACGGCUAACUCUGUGCCAGCAGCCGCGGUAAGACAGAGGUGGCAAGCGUUGUUCGGAAUUACUGGGCUUAAAGGGCGCGUAGGCGGUGGAGUAAGUCUGAGGUGGAAGAUUAGGGCUUAACCCUAAAAUUGCCUUGGAAACUGCAUCACUUGAGUCAGCGAGGGGAUGGCGGAAUUCCAGGUGUAGCGGUGAAAUGCGUAGAUAUCUGGAGGAAGGCCGGUGGCGAAGGCGGCCAUCUGGCGCUGAACUGACGCUGAGGCGCGAAAGCGUGGGGAGCAAACAGGAUUAGAUACCCUGGUAGUCCACGCCCUAAACGGUGGGUACUAGGUGUAGGGCUCGUAAGGGUUCUGUGCCGUAGGGAAACCAUUAAGUACCCCGCCUGGGGAGUA